UUAAGAGGAGGGGUGAGAAAAAGUCGUAUAAAAGGCGAGAGAAAAGUCGAUAGGGAUCAGUCGAGCGAGUAUCUCCGACACGGUAACAGCUGCAUUCCACUAUCUGCCACAAGCUGCAUUCAUCAGUUCUCAAUCAUUGUCGUAAAAAAGGAGAAAAAAAGAUGAUAGAAAUCAGUCGAGUGAGAAUCUCCGACACGGUAAUUGCUGUCUGUAGUCACUAUUCGUUACCAACUGCAUUCUUCGUGGUAUUAUCAGUUCGUAAUCAUGGUCACAAUCGGAAAAAUUUGAUGUUCACGCUUGGAGGUCACAAGAAACAUUUCGUAAAACUGGCAUGCGGUGGUGUAGAGGUUAGGUGAGAACCGGACGUUUUGCAUCAUUAUCAAAAGGUACAAUAGCCACAAGGCUUGAGAGGUGGAUCAGGGUGAGAAAAGUCGUAUAAAAGGAGAGAGCAAAGGUUAUAGAAAUCAGUCGAGUGAGUAUCUCCGACACGGCAACAGCAACUGCAGUGCACAAUAUGUCAGCAACUGCCUUCUUGGUCGCUUUACUGUUCUCAAUCAUCUUAAACUAUGUCGUCGUGCUGAUGUUGGGGAAUGUAUCGGCUCGUUCAACCACUGGUGUACUGAUGUCUUCUGGGUAUGGCGGGUAUGAAACCGCGACGCCGCACGUUACUACACCGAGGCCCCUAAGUACUACACUACCAAGUCUCCAGAUUAUUACACCACUACUUCGCUGCCCCGAACUACUACACCGAAUCCCCGAAAUAUUAUUCUUCCCCAAGCUACGCCAUCAAAGGGUCGAGUACUACAUCGAGGACCCUGAUUACUACACCACUACAUAUCAUGGUCGUAUAACAGGAGAGAAGGCGAUAGAUACAGUCAAAUGGUUAUCACCGACAUGGCAACAACUGUAGUGCAGUAGUGGUCACCAACUGCAUUCUUCAUCGUACAACCAGUUUUGCAAUCAUGGUAACUAUUUUGUCGUGCUGCUGUUGGGUGUCGUUUCGUUGAUGGCUGAGUCGACCACUGGUGUACUA
Long non-coding RNA from Daphnia pulex (common water flea), 1033 nucleotides. RefSeq lists it as uncharacterized. The transcript has 6 exons. The record is from RefSeq and is a predicted model, not a curated record. NCBI's taxonomy places the organism in Eukaryota, Metazoa, Arthropoda, Branchiopoda, Diplostraca, Daphniidae.